RNAcentral lists this ribosomal RNA (253 nucleotides) under uncultured bacterium. RNAcentral's name for it is "partial 16S ribosomal RNA". It matches the Rfam family "Bacterial small subunit ribosomal RNA", at positions 524 to 776 of the family's 1533-position model. The record is from RNAcentral.
UACAGAGGGUGCGAGCGUUGCUCGGAAUCACUGGGCGUAAAGCGCACGUAGGCGGAUCGUUAAGUCAGGGGUGAAAUCCUGGAGCUCAACUCCAGAACUGCCUUUGAUACUGGCGAUCUUGAGUUCGGGAGAGGUGAGUGGAACUGCGAGUGUAGAGGUGAAAUUCGUAGAUAUUCGCAAGAACACCAGUGGCGAAGGCGGCUCACUGGCCCGAUACUGACGCUGAGGUGCGAAAGCGUGGGGAGCAAACAGG